Molecule: ribosomal RNA, 465 nt
Filed under: Vreelandella stevensii
Lineage: Bacteria; Pseudomonadati; Pseudomonadota; Gammaproteobacteria; Oceanospirillales; Halomonadaceae
Description: partial 16S ribosomal RNA
Rfam family: Bacterial small subunit ribosomal RNA
Source: RNAcentral
CCUACGGGGGGCAGCAGUGGGGAAUAUUGGAGAAUGGGGGCAACCCUGAUCCAGCCAUGCCGCGUGUGUGAAGAAGGCCCUCGGGUUGUAAAGCACUUUCAGUGAGGAAGAACGCCUGGUGGUUAAUACCCAUCAGGAAAGACAUCACUCACAGAAGAAGCACCGGCUAACUCCGUGCCAGCAGCCGCGGUAAUACGGAGGGUGCGAGCGUUAAUCGGAAUUACUGGGCGUAAAGCGCGCGUAGGUGGCUUGAUAAGCCGGUUGUGAAAGCCCCGGGCUCAACCUGGGAACGGCAUCCGGAACUGUCAAGCUAGAGUGCAGGAGAGGAAGGUAGAAUUCCCGGUGUAGCGGUGAAAUGCGUAGAGAUCGGGAGGAAUACCAGUGGCGAAGGCGGCCUUCUGGACUGACACUGACACUGAGGUGCGAAAGCGUGGGUAGCAAACAGGAUUAGAUACCCUAGUAGUC